Molecule: ribosomal RNA, 468 nt
Filed under: uncultured bacterium
Lineage: Bacteria
Description: partial 16S ribosomal RNA
Rfam family: Bacterial small subunit ribosomal RNA
Source: RNAcentral
GACGAACGCUGGCGGCGUGCUUAACACAUGCAAGUCGAACGGAAAGGCCCUGCUUUUGUGGGGUGCUCGAGUGGCGAACGGGUGAGUAACACGUGAGUAACCUGCCCUUGACUUUGGGAUAACUUCAGGAAACUGGGGCUAAUACCGGAUAGGAGCUCCUGCUGCAUGGUGGGGGUUGGAAAGUUUCGGCGGUGGGGGUUGGACUCGAGGCUUAUCAGCUGGUUGGUGGGGUAGGGGCUUCCCAAGCCUUUGACGGGUAGCCCGCCUGGGAGCGUGACCGGCCACAUUGGGGCUGAGAUACGGCCCAGACUCCUACGGGAGGCAGCAGUGGGAAAUAUUGCACAAUGGGCGGAAGCCUGAUGCAGCAACGCCGCGUGCGGGAUGACGGCUUUCGAGUUAUAAACCGCUUUGGCCUGUGACGAAGCGUGAGUGACGGUAAUGGGUAAAGAAGCCCCGGCUAACUACGUG